RNAcentral lists this ribosomal RNA (492 nucleotides) under uncultured bacterium. RNAcentral describes it as "partial 16S ribosomal RNA". It matches the Rfam family "Bacterial small subunit ribosomal RNA", at positions 29 to 507 of the family's 1533-position model. The record is from RNAcentral.
AGUGAACGCUGGCGGUAGGCCUAACACAUGCAAGUCGAACGGCAGCACAGUAAGAGCUUGCUCUUACGGGUGGCGAGUGGCGGACGGGUGAGGAAUACAUCGGAAUCUACUUUUUCGUGGGGGAUAACGUAGGGAAACUUACGCUAAUACCGCAUACGACCUACGGGUGAAAGCAGGGGAUCUUCGGACCUUUCGCGAUUGAAUGAGCCGAUGUCGGAUUAGCUAGUUGGCGGGGUAAAGGCCCACCAAGGCGACGAUCCGUAGCUGGUCUGAGAGGAUGAUCAGCCACACUGGAACUGAGACACGGUCCCGACUCCUACGGGAGGCAGCAGUGGGGAAUAUUGGACAAUGGGCGCAAGCCUGAUCCAGCCAUACCGCGUGGGUGAAGAAGGCCUUCGGGUUGUAAAGCCCUUUUGUUGGGAAAGAAAAGCAGCAGGUUAAUACCCCGCUGUUCUGACGGUACCCAAAGAAUAAGCACCGGCUAACUUCGUG